This 464-nucleotide ribosomal RNA is filed under the name Vreelandella stevensii. RNAcentral's name for it is "partial 16S ribosomal RNA". It matches the Rfam family "Bacterial small subunit ribosomal RNA", at positions 338 to 795 of the family's 1533-position model. Lineage: Bacteria; Pseudomonadati; Pseudomonadota; Gammaproteobacteria; Oceanospirillales; Halomonadaceae. The record is from RNAcentral.
CCUACGGGUGGCAGCAGUGGGGAAUAUUGGACAAUGGGCGAAAGCCUGAUCCAGCCAUGCCGCGUGUGUGAAGAAGGCCUUCGGGUUGUAAAGCACUUUCAGUGGGGAAGAAAGCCUUGGGGCUAAUACCCUCGAGGAAGGACAUCACCCACAGAAGAAGCACCGGCUAACUCCGUGCCAGCAGCCGCGGUAAUACGGAGGGUGCGAGCGUUAAUCGGAAUUACUGGGCGUAAAGCGCGCGUAGGCGGUCUGAUAAGCCGGUUGUGAAAGCCCCGGGCUCAACCUGGGAACGGCAUCCGGAACUGUCAGGCUAGAGUGCAGGAGAGGAAGGUAGAAUUCCCGGUGUAGCGGUGAAAUGCGUAGAGAUCGGGAGGAAUACCAGUGGCGAAGGCGGCCUUCUGGACUGACACUGACGCUGAGGUGCGAAAGCGUGGGUAGCAAACAGGAUUAGUUACCCGGUAGUC